Molecule: ribosomal RNA, 406 nt
Filed under: uncultured bacterium
Lineage: Bacteria
Description: partial 16S ribosomal RNA
Rfam family: Bacterial small subunit ribosomal RNA
Source: RNAcentral
AUUGAACGCUGGCGGCAGGCCUAACACAUGCAAGUCGAACGAGUGGCGGACGGGUGAGUAAUGUAUGGGAAACUGCCUGAUGGAUGGGGAUAACUACUGUAAACGGUAGCUAAUACCGCAUACCAUCGGAUGUGCCCAGAUGGGAUGAGCUUGUAGGUGAGGUAACGGCUCACCUAGGCGACGAUCCCUAGCUGGUCUGAGAUGAUGACCAGCCACACGGGAAGUGAGACACGGUCCAGACUCCUACGGGAGGCAGCAGUGGGGAAUAUUGCACAAUGGGCGCAAGCCUGAUGCAGCCAUGCCGCGUGUAUGAAGAAGGCCUUCGGGUUGUAAAGUACUUUCAGCGGGGAGGCGUUACCCGCAGAAGAAGCACCGGCUAACUCCGUGCCAGCCGCCGCGGUAAUAC